UGGACCAGUAAUGAUGACUAAUGACAUAGGAGUCAUAGAUGAUGAAAAAAUAUGUGUCCGAAACUCGGAGGUCCAA
This is a small nucleolar RNA of Camelus dromedarius (Arabian camel), 76 nucleotides long. Lineage: Eukaryota; Metazoa; Chordata; Mammalia; Artiodactyla; Camelidae. The record is from Ensembl.